UACAUGCAAGUCGAGCGGUCCUUCGGGACAGCGGCGAACGGGUUAGUAACGCGUGGGAACGUGCCCUUUAGUACGGAAUAGCCAUUGGAAACGAUGAUUAAUACCGUAUACGCCCCAAGGGGGAAAGAUUUAUCGCUAAAGGAUCGGCCCGCGUUAGAUUAGGUAGUUGGUAGGGUAAUGGCCUACCAAGCCGACGAUCUAUAGCUGGUUUGAGAGGAUGAUCAGCAACACUGGGACUGAGACACGGCCCAGACUUCUACGGAAGGCAGCAGUAGGGAAUCUUGGACAAUGGGCGAAAGCCUGAUCCAGCCAUGCCGCGUGAGUGAUGAAGGCCCUAGGGUUGUAAAGCUCUUUCGCCAGGGAAGAUAAUGACGGUACCUGGUAAAG
This 387-nucleotide ribosomal RNA is filed under the name uncultured Alphaproteobacteria bacterium. RNAcentral's name for it is "bacterial SSU rRNA". It matches the Rfam family "Bacterial small subunit ribosomal RNA", at positions 52 to 487 of the family's 1533-position model. Lineage: Bacteria; Pseudomonadati; Pseudomonadota; Alphaproteobacteria. The record is from RNAcentral.